RNAcentral lists this ribosomal RNA (410 nucleotides) under uncultured microorganism. RNAcentral's name for it is "bacterial SSU rRNA". It matches the Rfam family "Bacterial small subunit ribosomal RNA", at positions 509 to 917 of the family's 1533-position model. The record is from RNAcentral.
CAGCCGCCGCGGUAAUACGUAGGGGGCGAGCGUUGUCCGGAAUUAUUGGGCGUAAAGCGCGCGCAGGCGGUCCCUUAAGUCUGAUGUGAAAGCCCACGGCUCAACCGUGGAGGGUCAUUGGAAACUGGGGGACUUGAGUGCAGAAGAGGAGAGCGGAAUUCCACGUGUAGCGGUGAAAUGCGUAGAGAUGUGGAGGAACACCAGUGGCGAAGGCGGCUCUCUGGUCGGUAACUGACGCUGAGGCGCGAAAGCGUGGGGAGCAACCAGGAUUAGAUACCCUGGUAGUCCACGCCGUAAACGAUGAGUGCUAAGUGUUAGAGGGGUUAAACCCUUUAGUGCUGUAGCUAACGCGUUAAGCACUCCGCCUGGGGAGUACGGCCGCAAGGCUGAAACUUAAAGGAAUUGGCGGG